Molecule: ribosomal RNA, 119 nt
Filed under: Triticum dicoccoides
Lineage: Eukaryota; Viridiplantae; Streptophyta; Magnoliopsida; Poales; Poaceae
Source: RNAcentral
GGAUGCGAUCAUACCAGCACUAAAGCACCGGAUCCCAUCAGAACUCUGAAGUUAAGCGUGCUUGGGCGAGAGUAGUACUAGGAUGGGUGACCUCCUGGGAAGUCCUCGUGUUGCUUUCC